This 253-nucleotide long non-coding RNA is filed under the name Mytilus galloprovincialis (Mediterranean mussel). Lineage: Eukaryota; Metazoa; Mollusca; Bivalvia; Mytilida; Mytilidae. The record is from RNAcentral.
CUGUUUUGCUGAGUGUGAAUUCGCAUUACCAUAAGACGUGUUACGGUACUUAUCUAUCCAAAUUCAUGUAUUUAGUUUAAAUGUUUAAUGUUAUAUUUGUAAUUCUCAUCGGAUUUUGUCAAAUGUGUUGACGUCUUUUCUAUUAUAUUCAUGUGUUAUGGUAAAGAAAAUUAAUCACCGCCUUCAUUUAUUAGAUUUGAUUUUGUUCAACGUAAUCUGUACGAUGUUUUACGUUUGAAGUUAGAUUCAAAAC